Long non-coding RNA from Alosa sapidissima (American shad), 497 nucleotides. RefSeq lists it as uncharacterized. The transcript is spliced from 3 exons. NCBI's taxonomy places the organism in Eukaryota, Metazoa, Chordata, Actinopteri, Clupeiformes, Clupeidae. The record is from RefSeq and is a predicted model, not a curated record.
CUUUCAGUGUUAAAAAUGAUUGCAGUUUCACUAUGUACAAGAUGUGCCGUAGCACAGUGAUUAGAGGAGCGAGCUUUGAUCUAAGGAUCAUUGGUUCAAAUCCAACAUCAAUCAUUCUGCCCAUGUUAGUUUUGCACUGGAUAGUUACAUGCCAACACAAAAGGUUGUAAAAGUAGCCAAAUAAGAGUUUGUUAGUGUGUGUCUACAGUUUAAGUGCAUUUAUAUUGGUAGCUAUAGUGAGGUAGGACUAGGCUAUUGCUGAUUAUGGGUUGGUUGUGUUGCUUAGGCGGUGGUGAUUAAAACACCAUAAUUCACAAAGCUGUCUUCUUUUAAUGUAGGUAUACCUUUAUCAAAGGCUAUAGGCUUACUUUAAGCGGGGACAGGAUAGGUCUAUUUGAGUCUAUGUGUGUGUGGAAACCAUUAUUAUUAUUCCAUUCUCACAGUUUUAUAUGGGCUUAUCAUGGUAAAGUAGCUUAUUAUCACCGCUGCGCAGCGCU